AACGAACGCUGGCGGCGCGCCUAAUACAUGCAAGUCGAGCGAGAAGACGUAGCAAUACGUUUGUAAAGCGGCGAACGGGUGAGGAAUACAUGGGUAACCUACCCUCGAGUGGGAAUAACUAGCCGAAAGGUUAGCUAAUACCGCGUACGCUCCUUGGACUUCGGUUCAGGGAGGAAAGCGAUACCGUGGGUAUCGCGCUCUUGGAUGGGCUCAUGUCCUAUCAGCUUGUUGGUAGAGGAACGGCUCACCAAGGCUUCGACGGGUAGCUGGUCUGAGAGGACGAUCAGCCACACUGGCACUGCGACACGGGCCAGACUCCUACGGGAGGCAGCAGUAAGGAAUAUUGCGCAAUGGGCGAAAGCCUGACGCAGCGACGCCGCGUGGGGGAGUGAAGGUCUUCGGAUUGUAAACCCCUUUCGGGAGGGAAGAUGGAACGAGCAAUCGUUCGGACGGUACCUCCAGAAGCAGCCACGGCUAACUUCGUGCC
Molecule: ribosomal RNA, 487 nt
Filed under: uncultured bacterium
Lineage: Bacteria
Description: bacterial SSU rRNA
Rfam family: Bacterial small subunit ribosomal RNA
Source: RNAcentral